Equus caballus (horse) is the source of this 3617-nucleotide long non-coding RNA. The record is from Ensembl. Lineage: Eukaryota; Metazoa; Chordata; Mammalia; Perissodactyla; Equidae.
CAAAUAAUGAAUGAGAUUAGAGAGAAAGGAAGCAGAGAGAGAAGGGGGAAAAGAAAGUCUUGCAUAAGGAGUGGGGAAUAAAAGCAACAGCCUCCGACUAGCCCCUCAGAAAAAGAGAGAAAGAGAAAGCUUGAUUAUUUUCUGGGAAAUAGUAUAGAAAGGCUGAGCAGGAAGUGAGUGUAUGAGAGAAUUUGAAAAUGAUGGAGGGAAAACUUUCUGGAAAAGCAAGUAGAGUGCAGAGACAUGAAUGCCAAGGAGAAAAAGCGUUGUUAUGAACAGGCUUGAAGUUUUGCCAACAUUCUGAAUGUAAGUGAACAGAGUGAGAUAUAUUUCUGACUGCAGCAGAUACCAUCCUCUUGAGAUCUACUUGCAUUUUGUUUAGUUGUGAAGUUUGUGAAUCAUCUCGUAAAAUGUUCCCAUUAAAGCAUAGGUAGGGUGUGGAAGUGAGGUGAGCAUGCUCAGUAGAGGGAAUAGCAGGAACAGAGGUGAAGAGAAUAAGAAAAAGGAACUGGAAUUGUGAGAACAACGAAGAGUUCUGUUUUACUGGAGUAUAGGAUUCUUGAUGUGGAAUAGAACAAGAAUUGGUUGGAAAUUAGAUUGGAGUAGGAUCACACAGGUCUUAAACUUUAAGUUGAGGAAUAGAAUUUCCAAUUUGUUCAAUAGAGAGUUUUAUCCUGAGAACUUGCUGCAUUUUUUUUUUUUUUUGAGCGUAUGACAUACUCAAAGUGGGUGGAAGUGUCUCAUGCUCUGAUAAGAAGUCAAGAUUAAUGAUACCAAUUUCAAUGCCUUUUAUGUAGAGGUCAUAUUUGAAGCCUUGGGAGAGAUGAUGUGGUCCAGAGAGAAAAUGUAGGGAAAGAAGAGAUCAUUUAGAACAGAACCUUAAAGAAUGCUUACUCUUUUUUUUUUUUUUUUGCUGAGGAAGAUUAGCCCUAAGCUAACCUCUGUGCCAGUCCUCCUCCACUUUAUAUGUGUGGCUGACCAGUGGUGUAGGUCCAUGCCCAGGAUCUGAACCUGCAAACCCAGGCUUUGAAGCAGAGCACGCCAAACUUAACCACUACGCCACAGGGCCGGCCCCUACUUACCCUCUCAAAUAAUCCAGAUAAGAAAAGAAACCAUUGAUGAAGACAGAGAAAUCAGAAAAGAAUCUGAUUACACAUUGCCAUAGGAGCCAAAUAGAAAGUUUUAACAAGCAAUGAUGUGUUUAACCGUACUGAAAGCUGGGGAAAAAAGAUUUAGGAGGAUGUAAACAGAGAAGAAUUCAUGAGGCUUGACAAUUUGUAGGUCCAAAAAGUAUGAUGAGGACAAGGAUCACAGAGAGACUCAGGCAUUGAAAGCACUGAUGUCAAUCUCAGGCAGCUGACUUUGCCCACUUGAAUGUGAGCAGAGCUGAUGCAGGACACCGCUGAGAAGAACCUUUAAGGAUCAUCACUUGGUUCUGCCAUCACCUUUUGCCAUCUGCCACAAGCCUGACAUGUCCCACAUAAGGGCUGCCCUCUUCAUCCUGGAAGAGGAUACAGGGAAUAAAGCUUCAGCCAACUCAUAGCCAAUGUAGAACUGUGUAACAUAAGCAAAAAAUAAUUCUUUCUUUUUUUGUAAGCUAUAGAGAUUUAGAGACUGGUACUUCAAAGUAGAUGCUGCCAUAACAAAACUUCUAAAAUAUGUCCCCCUGACUUCAUGGCAGAAUAGUAGGUAGCAAUGAAACUGUUAUUAGAGACUGGAAGGAUGGUGACCUCUUAUGCAGUGGUGAAACAUUUAAUGAAACUAUAGCUACAAUAACAUAAAAAGCAGAUAAUAUGCUAAAUGACUUUCUGACCUUAGGCAAAGAGAUUGGGAAACAGAGUAUUACUAGCAUGUCCUGAUAGCUCUUGGCUGCAUUUGACAAGGUGGUACAGAAAAAGAGUUGAGCUCACAAAAGGGUUGGCCAAUUUGCAGGCAAAGAUGAAAAGAAAUGAAAGGAAGUCAGAAAGCUGAGGACUUAGAGGGUUGGAAGAUGCAACUUACUCUCAUAUCCAAAAGUGAAACUGAGAAUGCCUCUGAGUGACAAAAGCUGAUUAAAAUUCAACUUUAGGGGGCCUGGCCCGGUGGUGUAAUGGUUAAGUUUGUAUGCUCCACUUUGUUGGCCUGGGGUUCGCAGGUUCAGAUCCCAUGUCUGGACUUAGCACCACUCAUCGAAGAGAACAUUGGCCCAGAUGUUAGCUCAGCGACAAUCUUCCUCCCCAAAAUAAAUAAUAAUAAAAAAAUUUAAAAAAUAAAAUUCAACUUUGGGGAGUCACAGACCAAAGCAAAGAUAUUAGGGGUGCCUUUUGUUGAGUUGAUUAUGGCGAUAACUGGUGGUAAAUCUUUUCAGGUGUACAAAUGGCUUAAAAGAGCCUGAGGGUAUAGCUUCCCCACAGAUGUCUGAUAAACUCAAAAAACCCUCUGUGUUAAGUCUAGAGAAAGAGAGGCAUGUCCUGAAAAGAAUUGCCAAUGUGGCUGUUGGUACAAAAACCUAAUGAACUUGUUGAGAGAAUCAUACUGCCAAAAUAACCAUCAGCCUAGAUUAAAAGAGAUCGUGUCUGUUCUAAAUCUAGAGGAGACAGCAAGAAAAUCUUAGCCCUCAAGGAAGCAUAUUCUCCAAUGCCCUUUUCGGAUGUGAUCCAAUGAGGAUAAUGGAGAAGGAGGAACUGCCCAGAGGAUGGAGUCAAGAGUUGUCUACAGUCAUGGACUAGGGAGCUAGACAGAGAACAGAAUGAGACUCAUCAGGAGGCAUUUCUUCCCCCAAUGGUGGAGGACCCUCACGACAUCUACCCAGUGGGAUUUCAGAGUUGCUGUGCUCACCAGACAGUUUUAGUUUCAGUUCAUGGGUCUAAAUGAAGAGGAGCUAUAUCUGGACCUGAUGUUUAAGCUGAUCACAAAAUCCUGGACCUAGAAUUUGAAGCUGUGAUGGGAUCUAUCAUUUAAGCUGUUUUCUUCAGAUGUAGGGGGAGUAUAUUAUUAUUUGAAAGAGUGAGAAAUGAAUAUUUUUGACCAGGAGAACAGACUGUGGUCAAUUUUAUUAUUGUUUCCCACUAUUCACUAUCAUUUCCUAUAAGGGAAUUAUACAUCCCUGUCCUUUGCCAUGUAUCUCGUAGCAUCCCUCAAUGUGACAAAUUCUUCUCACUGAUAACAGGUUUGGCCAAUGAGACAUUGUGGAACUGAUAUGUGCCACUUUCCAGGAGAAGUUUUAAGAGCCAUCGCAUGGUUUUGCCACUGCUCUUUUUCCUUUGCAAUGAGACUGAGAUAGGGGCCACUCCUUUAGUCUGAGUCCUGGAAUGACGAAGACACGGAACAGAGCCAAACCUGACUCAUAGACACACAGCCAGCCUGCGCCAAAUGUGUACUUGGGCAAAAGUCAACAUUUCAUGGUAUAAGUUACUACUACAGCAUAACAGCAUAGCAGACUAAUACUGGAAUACUAUACAUAAGUGAAAAAAUUGAAAGGAAAAAUACGAAUUUUAAACAUAAAGUUUGAGAUAUGGUUACCUUUAGUAGAGAGACAGGAGAAUACAGGGAGAGGAGCGCAUAGGUAUUUAGAUUGUGGGUAUAUGGGUGUUCAUUUUAUCAUUCUUUUACUUUGCAAAUAUGAUAGAUUGAUAGAG